RNAcentral lists this ribosomal RNA (497 nucleotides) under uncultured bacterium. RNAcentral's name for it is "partial 16S ribosomal RNA". It matches the Rfam family "Bacterial small subunit ribosomal RNA", at positions 28 to 507 of the family's 1533-position model. The record is from RNAcentral.
GAUGAACACUGGCGGCGUGCCUAAUACAUGCAAGUCGAGCGAACAGAUGAGGAGCUUGCUCCUCUGACGUUAGCGGCGGACGGGUGAGUAACACGUGGAUAACCUACCUAUAAGACUGGGAUAACUUCGGGAAACCGGAGCUAAUACCGGAUAAUAUAUUGAACCGCAUGGUUCAAUAGUGAAAGACGGUUUUGCUGUCACUUAUAGAUGGAUCCGCGCCGCAUUAGCUAGUUGGUAAGGUAACGGCUUACCAAGGCAACGAUGCGUAGCCGACCUGAGAGGGUGAUCGGCCACACUGGAACUGAGACACGGUCCAGAGUCCUACGGGAGGCAGCAGUAGGGAAUCUUCCGCAAUGGGCGAAAGCCUGACGGAGCAACGCCGCGUGAGUGAUGAAGGUCUUCGGAUCGUAAAACUCUGUUAUUAGGGAAGAACAAAUGUGUAAGUAACUAUGCACGUCUUGACGGUACCUAAUCAGAAAGCCACGGCUAACUACGUG